UACGUAGGGUGCGAGCGUUAAUCGGAAUUACUGGGCGUAAAGCGUGCGCAGGCGGUUUUUUAAGCCAGAUGUGAAAUCCCCGGGCUUAACCUGGGAAUUGCAUUUGGAACUGGAAGACUAGAGUGCGGCAGAGGGGGGUGGAAUUCCUGGUGUAGCAGUGAAAUGCGUAGAGAUCAGGAGGAACACCGAUGGCGAAGGCAGCCCCCUGGGCCGACACUGACGCUCAUGCACGAAAGCGUGGGGAGCAAACAGG
This 253-nucleotide ribosomal RNA is filed under the name uncultured bacterium. Its description in RNAcentral is "partial 16S ribosomal RNA". It matches the Rfam family "Bacterial small subunit ribosomal RNA", at positions 524 to 776 of the family's 1533-position model. The record is from RNAcentral.